This 63-nucleotide transfer RNA is filed under the name Matsumuramata muiri. Its description in RNAcentral is "tRNA-Ala". The record is from RNAcentral. Lineage: Eukaryota; Metazoa; Arthropoda; Insecta; Hemiptera; Delphacidae.
AGGAGAAUAGUUAAAUAUAACAUUUAAAUUGCAAUUAAAAAGUACAUUAAUGUGUUUCUCUCA